Molecule: long non-coding RNA, 2601 nt
Organism: Halichondria panicea
Lineage: Eukaryota; Metazoa; Porifera; Demospongiae; Suberitida; Halichondriidae
Exons: 3
Source: RefSeq, a predicted model, not a curated record
CAGGGACAUUCACUGUAGCUGUAAAAGCCCAACAGUUUACAAUUGAGCCUGAGUCAGUGGUACGAGCUGAGGGAUUAUUGGCAGAGUUUGAGUUUGAGUGCCUGUCUCCUGGAGCACUAGCUCACCCUUGGUUUGUGGAUGGCAUUGAGUCUACAAGCCCUAACAGUUCAUCUGAAAUCAGAGUAGCUGGAGGUAUUUCAGGUCGUCCCUCAGUGCUGACCAUCCCAGCCAGUUUACAGUUCAACAACAGUGUCAUUAAAUUCAGUGUCUCACAGCUUCAGUGAGUAGUGUAGUGUUCUCAAGGAAUGCAACAUUGAUAGCUGAGUGUGUAUCUAUUGAAGUGGUGAAUAGUGAAACCCACCUUGUUGUCCCUGUGACGAAUAACUUCACUCUGAAUAAUGUUGCCUAUCGUGUGGACAUCUCGCUUACUGCUCUGGGCACCAAUGAGAUGGUUGCACUUCCGCCUCUAUAUGCAUGGGCAAACAAAUCAAGCACAGUUUAAUUUUGGAUACCCUAACCACACUGUCUGUGAUAUAUUCACCUUCACUGUGACUCCAAUUAGUGAGUCAAGAAUGGAAGGAAGAUGCAGUGAACCUGCAGUCCCUGGGUUUUUCACACGAGUAACAGGUACAUUUUAAUAUGUGAAUGACGUAACGGAUUGGAGUUAUGCGCUCGCCGAAUUUCUUGUUUCUUCGCUUUUUCGCGCUUUUCUUUUCCUGGCAAUCUUAGCAACGUUCACAUUGCAAAUGUUUUUAUAUUAGACUUACUAUUAUUAUUAUUAGAGCUGGCACCCAAUUGAGAAUCAAUAGAUGCAGCAAUUGCAAAGUGUACCUUGCAGACACUUUACUCACGACAUUGUAAUGGUAUACAGUGCAUCUGUGGUCUAGAGAGUAGAAUACGUGAGUAGAUCUAGUUGUACUUAAUUAAAUGUAUCUCAAGAUUAAUUGGAACAUUUCUAAGAAAUUGUGGUUAUACCAUUGUAUAGGUAAAAGAAUAAGCUACAACAUUAUUCAAAAAUAUUUCCCCAAAAGUUGUUGUAGUGGAAAAUAAUUUUAGGUGAUAUGGGAGUGAUCGUAAAAAAAUUUAUGUAACAUCAAUUAUCUCUGGAACUAAAAUAAUUAUUUCUGGACAAAUUUUUCACAUCAGAAGUUAAAUAAUUAUUUAUUCAAGCUUACUCUGUGUAAUCUUUGGACCUAGCCGUAAUCUUCUUCAAAUCUCUCCCUAACCGAAACGGCACUAAAAACUAUGAAUUUUGAGCACUGUAUGUGUAGAUAUUAAUAAGCAACAUCGAACCUUUCAUAAGAUUAGCCAAACAAUGUCUAGAUGUUGUGAAAAGUCCCAACACCUUAGCCGGAAACUGCUGGCCUUUUCUAUCCCUAAUCGAUUACCCAUUGUUUACUGUUUUAUUAAUCACCACAAACCCACCACCUUAUGUUGUCAUGGAAACACUUUUGGAUAUACCGGGUAGUAGCUUAUUCGAUCUACACAAUGGUAUCAGCAGAUUUUCUCAGAAAUGUUCCAAUCAAAACAUACAUUUAAGUACAACUACUCACACAUUUUUGGUAUUCUACUCUCUAUCGAUGCACUGUAACUGCCGACACAUGCACUUAAUUUGAACAUAGAUAAGGAAGAGAGGGAUUGGAAACGGAAGUGUUCAGUCUCAGUAUACGUGAAUGCAGUCUACCCUCAAUAAGCAUCCGUGUCUCGCCUAAAUAUUGUGUCCGCGAAAUGCCGGGAAAAUACCUCCCUCUUACGUAUGUUUCUGAGUUUCCUCAGUAUACUAUGCAUCUCCUUGAAGCUUUCUUAGUAUUAUUUAGAACACACCUAGCCAAGAUUAAGUGUUUUAAUCUGAGUGCCGAGGAUGGCCUCGAGGUUAACGUGGUGCUCGAGGCGCAGCCGAGUGCAUUACGUAACCGAGAGGCCAUCCGAGUGCACCAGAUUAAAACACGUGACUUGGCUAGGUGUGUUCUAAAGGAUUUAGUGCUGUCACGUGAGCUCUAGCCUCGUGGCAGCUAGAUCUAGCUACAUUUUAAAUCAGUUGCUGGUGGCUAGCUAGCUAGCUAGGCGUAAUAGCAAGUUUUAGUAGGUUUGUAGAUCGAGUAACUGAUGCAAAGGAGAAGGAGAUACUAUCUAAAGCUAUCUGGACUGACUGGGCAUGUUCUCGACUUAUUUCUCCUGCUGACCAACAGUGCAGUCCCGAUCCCACUACUGGAUAUGCCUCCAGCUGAUCUGGCUUACUGGAUGGGAAACUUUGUGCGCAAACUAUAUGGCAAUGAGUAUCUGGUUUGCUCUUUUGGAACGCUAUGAUAUUCGAAGCACCUUUGAUGAAACGAUUAUAUGGAUCUGGCUUAGGUACAGGUACGUACAUCUUCGAAGCAAGCUGAGUCUAUUUCUCCAGACGAAAAAGCGAUGCUAUGGUCAAGUCAGCAAUUCGGUACACUUACUACACAUGAAACAAGUCGAAACGAUAACAUUCAACUUUCUAAUACUUUUCAGCUUUGCUGUGUACGUAUUCAAUCUGCUUGUAUUAUUAUUAUAAUUAUGAUGACAUUCAGAUUCACUUGUAUUAUGGUUGUUUGAUAAAAAGUGUGCAUUAACAAA